GACGAACGCUGGCGGCGUGCUUAACACAUGCAAGUCGAACGGAAAGGCCCUGCUUUUGUGGGGUGCUCGAGUGGCGAACGGGUGAGUAACACGUGAGUAACCUGCCCUUAACUUUGGGAUAACUUCAGGAAACUGGGGCUAAUACCGGAGAGGAGCUCCUGCUGCAUGGUGGGGGUUGGAAAGUUUCGGCGGUGGGGGAUGGACUCGCGGCUUAUCCGCUUGUUGGUAGGGUAGUGGCUUACCAAGGCUUAGAGGGGUAGCCGGCCUGAGAGGGUGACCGGGCACAUUGGGGCUGAGAUAGGGCCCAGACUCCUACGGGAGGCAGCAGUGGGGAAUAUUGCACAAUGGGCGGAAGCCUGAUGCAGCAACGCCGCGUGCGGGAUGACGGCCUUCGGGUUGUAAACCGCUUUCGACUGUGACGAAGCGUGAGUGACGGUAAUGGGUAAAGAAGCACCGGCUAACUACGUG
Molecule: ribosomal RNA, 468 nt
Filed under: uncultured bacterium
Lineage: Bacteria
Description: partial 16S ribosomal RNA
Rfam family: Bacterial small subunit ribosomal RNA
Source: RNAcentral